Molecule: ribosomal RNA, 253 nt
Filed under: uncultured bacterium
Lineage: Bacteria
Description: partial 16S ribosomal RNA
Rfam family: Bacterial small subunit ribosomal RNA
Source: RNAcentral
UACGUAGGGGGCAAGCGUUAUCCGGAUUUACUGGGUGUAAAGGGAGUGUAGACGGCGAUGCAAGUCUGAAGUGAAAGGCGGGGGCCCAACCCCCGGACUGCUUUGGAAACUGUAUGGCUGGAGUGCAGGAGAGGUAAGUGGAAUUCCUAGUGUAGCGGUGAAAUGCGUAGAUAUUAGGAGGAACACCAGUGGCGAAGGCGGCUUACUGGACUGUAACUGACACUGAGGCUCGAAAGCGUGGGGAGCAAACAGG